This 1567-nucleotide long non-coding RNA is filed under the name Elaeis guineensis (African oil palm). RNAcentral's name for it is "long non-coding RNA (EGUI_LNC033863)". Lineage: Eukaryota; Viridiplantae; Streptophyta; Magnoliopsida; Arecales; Arecaceae. The record is from RNAcentral.
AUUUCAAGGAUACUAUAAUAGAGAUCAUGGUAUAUAUUACUAUCAGACAGAAUAGAAACUAUGGAGUCACAUACAAUAGAUAUUUCUGACUGAUCAGAUGUUAAGUUAUGAUGAUGAAUCAUAAUAGAAUUUAAUUAUCAAUAUGAUUAAUGACUAAUUCAAUGCAAAAGUUAUAAUUGAAAGAUUCACUAAAUGUUAGUGAAUUGUAAGAAGGUCAAUUAACAAUUAGAUUGCUCUCUGGCUCAAUCUGAUUGAGCUAUGAGAUUCAAAUCAAAUAUAAUUGAAUUAGAUUUAAUUUAGAUUAAUUUGGAUUUGAUUAGAUCAAGCCUAAUUGAUCUAUGAGAUAAUCCAAUUGCAUAAGGAGAAUAAUUCCUAUUUUGACUAGGACUUGAUUGAAUCAAUUUUCUAAUUAGAUUAAAAUUUAAUCUAGAUUUAAUUGAGUUCCUAAUUGGACUAAGAAUUAAAUUAAUUUGGUUUCUAACUAAUUCUAAAUUGGUUAGGAUUAAAUCAGAUUUAAGUUAGAUUUAAAUCAGCAAACAAAUAAAUCUUAGUUGGACUAGGAUUUCUCUUUGACGCCACCUCUCUUUUUUGCACCACCUAAGCCCAACACCAAAUCUAAUUUGGCAUGUGGUUGGACUAGCCCAAGCAUCUCCAUGCUACCUCUCUUAUGUCUAUUUUUGGUUGAGAUCAAAUCUGAUUUGAUCUGAUUUUAAUUGGACCAAAACAGAACUCCCAAUUUGAUUGGUGGUGCGGACACCAGAGCCAUCAGAAGUUGGCGACAUGAUUUGGAUUCGAUUUGGAUUGAAGAAGUUCCAUUAGAUUGACUCUACUUUAGUUAUUUAUUUUCAGUCAAUAAAGUUAUCGUGAUGUAUUUAAUUUUGGUUCCAUAGGGCCAUACUUAGAUUUGUAUUGGGUUUAUCUAUGUCACCUUUGGAGCCACAACUCUCCACACGCCUAGAGAGAAAAUAUGCAUGCUAGCAUGUGCCAUGCCCAAGGAUCCUCAUGCCAAGUUAUGCCAAGCAUCAAGUGUCCACAUGAAGUUCUAUUUCUUUUUUAGGAUUCCUUACGAAUUCUUGACUACUUAUUUAUUUUGUUAAAGGAUUAAUUUCUUUCCCAUAGUAGAUUACUUUGUUUGAAAAUCAGACAUAAUGUUUUACUUUUUUGUGAGAAGAUUGAUUUCUUUCUUGUAAAAGAUAAAGGAUUCCUAAAAAAAUAGGACCCCUAGGGUCCUAUAUAAAUCUUUACAUUUUUCAUGAAGAGGACAAUGAAUGAUUUUACAAAUCUCAUAAAUACUUGUGUCAAUUGCUCCAAGAGGGAGAGGGUGUGAGAUCCAAAAUCACCCCACAAGGGGAAGGUGUGAGGCCCACUUUCUUUCCUACCCUUUUAAUCUUUAUCUUCUUGAGAUCCAGUAUUCCUAUGACCCCGAUUCAACUCCACCAUUUAUCCAUGCAAGCCUAUCCCAUCAAGAAAAGUUUUGUCUCCUCUAGGGUUUCCAUCUAUCAUGAUGAGUGAAAAAAGUGAUCCCUUAUUCUACAGAUGAUAUACUGUCAAGGACCUUCAUUCCUUC